CAUUUUAUGUUUAACCAUAAAAUAAUUUUUAUAUAUUAUUAAUGUGUUGGUGUGUGAGUGUGUUUUCUUGAACGUGUGUUAGUGUGUGUUUGCCGGAGGUGGCGGCGGGUGGUGGCGGAGGAGAUUUGGAGGUGGUGGACGAAAGAAGUAUGGAUAUCUAAUGAACGAAAGAAGUAUGGAUUUUUUAUAGUGGUUUUCAAUAAUUAUGUACAGAUUUUUGUAGUGGUUUUCAAUAUUUUACAUAUACCAUUAUAAAAAUUUGUACAAAAAUUAUAGUGG
RNAcentral lists this long non-coding RNA (279 nucleotides) under Erythranthe guttata (spotted monkey flower). RNAcentral's name for it is "long non-coding RNA (EGUT_LNC001641)". The record is from RNAcentral. Lineage: Eukaryota; Viridiplantae; Streptophyta; Magnoliopsida; Lamiales; Phrymaceae.